UUUUUUUUUUUUUUGAGGGGGACAUGGUGGGUCUCGUGCCAUAGGUCCCGUGCGUGCCGGCUCGCCACGCGGCCCGCAGGAGGGCCGUGGCCCCUGGGGGUGCGGGUGGUGGAAGGAGGAAGAAAGAAGAGGGGGCUGGGCGGGUUGGAGGCUUGUAGCCUUGAGUUGGAGGCGAGUGGUCACGUGGUGAAGAACGCAGGCAGGCAGCGAUCACUGGCCUGUCUGUCUGGCCAGGCCACCGGCUAGUGUCCAGGCCAGGCCUCUGCUUUUCACUUUUUCUCAUGCCUGCUUGAUCUGGUUCUGGUCCGUUGACCGUCGUGCAGUCUCGUGCUCUCGCGCCGUGGUGGCUUUGGACACGGUUAAAAUGCCAGCAGUUUACAUUAACCGCCGUAAAAACCUUGCAUUGUUUACUGUGCAUAUUGUAAUCCUUAGAAAAGAAUGCAACUCUAUAUGAACGCAACUCUACGGGAAGUCAACCAAUUUUAAAUUUGAUCAAAUUUAUACAAAAUAAAAUUUGAUCAAAUUUAUACAAAAUAGUAUUAAUAUUUAUGGUACAAAAUAUAUAUUAAUAAAUUAAUUAUGUAUUAUAUUCUCAUCCUAAACCUAUUUGGAGAACCUAUUUGGAGAAGUGAAUAUUAGUAUUUUUUAUAAAUUUGAUCAAUUGACUCCUCGAGAAGUUAGAGUUGCAUUCUUUUUUAGACGGAGGGAGUAGAAGUCAAAAGGCCACGCGAACAAUUAGCCCUUGUUUACUUCCCAAGUUGGGAGGUGCUAAAUUGGCAUUUUGCCAUAAAUGCGACACUGUAGCGUUUCGUUUGUAUUUGUGAAUUAUUGUCCAAAUAUUGACUAAUUAGGCUCAAAAGAUUCGUCUCGCAAAGUACAACAAAACUGUGCAAUUAGUUUUUGAUUUCGUCUACAUUUAGUACUCCAUGCAUGUACCGCAAGUUUGAUGUGAUGGGAAAUCUUCUUUUUGCAUAGUGUCAAAGUUGGGAGUUUGGAGAGAAGUAAACAAGGGCUUAAUUUAUUCUUACUGAAUAGUAUUAGGCCCCGUUUGGGUCCAAGGAAUUGGAAUCUAUUUAAUGGAGUAGGCUAAUUUAUGUUGGAAUGUGGUAUUCCACAACUUUCCAAAGUUUAGAUAUAAGCCUAUCUUAAAUUCAUGGGGUGGGAGAUGGAAAUUGAUUCUAUAGAUUAUGGUUAUUAGAUGAAAUUCAAUUCUUAUAGCACGUUCUUAGACUCGCUUCUCUAUAGUAGAAGUGCAGCAUACAAGUAUCUCUCCCAUAUCACCAACUAUAAUAUACAACUAUAUUCCACGUACAAUUAUAUUAGCUUAAUUAAUUUGUGUCUAAAUUAUGAUUAUUAGGAUGGAAUUCAAUUCCAAUGAUCCAAACGGAGCCUUAAUGGAAUUGGCAUCGCUACCUCUCCUCACUAUAAACUAUUCAGGGAUGGAUCCGAGCUUGGCAUGGCUGGUCGCUCCGGCAGCGCACUGCGCACUGCGGGCGCAUGCACUCGCACAGCGGCACAGGGGCACCAGGUAGGGGAACCCGUGCUUGCAGCGCACGCCCUCCUGCACCUCGCGGCCCUGAAGCAGUAGCGGUAGGCGGUAGCGGUGGCUGUCCAGGAACCAGCAGUCGUCCGCUCCGAGCGCGGACGAUUGCACCUGCAGGCCUGUGAGCACACCGUGAAUGAAUUCUGAGAGAUGGAUGCACGAGGAGCAGCCAUGCGAUGCGAGUACAAGCCAUCGCCGUCUUCUGAAGGAGCACGAUGAGCGGCGGAGUCUUGACUCUUGACAACAGCAGGAUCGAACGCGUUCUCUCCCUUAACGUGCGGAAGCACGGCCAGCAAAUGCUGCCCUUCUUUCAGGUUCGUCGAAAGUUCGCGGCAUAAGAUGGUCAGAUCCUGACUGACAACAUCCAUCACCCACGCCGUGCGCAAGGUCUCUGCCGCAUCGACUAUCCCUCUACGUGCCAACGGAUCGAGACUCACGCGCCGUCAACGCAUCCAUGCCCCAAGUACGCGGCAUCCGGUUCCGGCCGCGGGCACGGCGGGUAGCCAUGGUGGCGGGGCGGCCAUCUCUCUAAGGCUGCCGGCCAUGGAGCCUCCUCCCCCAACAACCCCAAAUCCCUAACCCCAACCCGCCCCGCCGCGAGCUCCGCCCGCGGCAGCGACGGCGACCUCGCCGCUGCAGUCACCUCCUCCCCUGGCCUCCUCUUCCCCUUCGGCCCGUCGCUGCUACUGCUGCUAUUUUUUUUCGGUCGCUGGUAACUGUAGCGGCGAACGCGCGCCGUAUAAGAUUUUCGAUCCGGUUCAGCGAUUCACUGUGCAGACCAUGCGGUGUACGCCGCCUCCAACUCAUGCGGAUAGCACCUGGCAGGGGCGCAUCGCUCGAUUCGGUUCGACAUGCAUGGCGACACGAGACUCAUGGGCGGGCGGCUCGUGAACUGUUUCAUUGGUUCACCGUGGGCCGUGACCGCUGACAACACGCGGCUAGCUUCGGCCUGGUUUGGUUCUAUUUGCUUAUUUUUAAGCAAGUGUCACAUCAAUGUUUAGAUACUAAUUAGGAGUAUUAAACGUAGACUAUUUACAAAAUACAUUACAUAAGUGGAGGCUAAACGGCGAGACGAAUCUAUUAAGCCUAAUUAGUCCAUGAUUUGACAAUGUGUUGCUCAGUAAACAUUUGCUAAUGAUGGAUUAAUUAGGCUUAAUAGGUUCGUCUCGCUAGACCGGUCUAGCUUUUGAUUCAUGAGUCAUGACUGACCAGAUAUGGAUUCCAAUGAGCAAUGACAUUUAGCAGGCCUCAUUUCUGAAGCGCGAGUUUUACAGAAAUGGCCACGGGUUCCACAGGAAUUCGACAGGAUUCCCAUGCUAGUAGUUACAGUUUUCAAACGAGAGACGUCGCCUUGCUUCGCAGGGCAACCUUCAGGCUGCAGGCCGUCCAAAUAAUAUAUAACAACAGAUGUAAUCAUGUAAUUAUACUACGUACUUGCUGCACGCGUCAUGCAAAGUACUCGAUCAGUGGUUGCAGUUGGGGAGCAGGCACUCGCAGAUGGGCACAAGGUUGGGGAAGUUGCUGUUGCAGCGCCCGUCCACCUUGCCCUUAUCCUGGCAGUGGCCCCGGCACUUGGGCUGGUGGAAGCAGAUGGGAUAGUCCGCGUUGUUGUUCACCCAGCAGUCGUCCGAUCCAAGAACAACCAUGCCUGCAGGUAAAUUAUUGGCACAGUUUCAUGGAAGCAUUGUUACGCAUGUAUCGACGAGGAGACGCUGUAGUGUAUGUGCUUACCGGAGUGCACGAGGAGCAGGCAGAGGAGGAGGCCUGAGGCCAUCGCUUUCCCUGACGUCGCCAUUGCUAGGAUGCCAAGCCUGAGGACAGAUUGUUUAUUUCAAAAAAAAAAAAAAGCCUGAGGACAAGUUGAACGCACCCAGCUCUUUAUGUAGUCCCCAAGCCUCGUCCUGACCAGAGGUACCGGUAGGUGGAUUUUUCUACUAAACCGGUUAACCACCAAUCCAUACAUGUUCAAUCUAAAUUUAACCAAAAGAACUUAUGUUACCCAAAAGUAACCAGUGAUCCAAGUUUAGCAAAUUCAUAUCCAGCGCACGUCCUGCCUGCAUUGGACGGCUCGCGAGAGCACGAGUAAUCUGCCUAAAACUCUCCCAACCUCACUGUCCGUCGCGCCGUCACAGGGCAUGCAUUCGUUGUCGCAGCAUGUUUUGUUUUCCAUGGUAUUCAUAGGGUUGGUAGAAAAGCUCAAGCUCGUGAGCGGACUCAGAUAGGUUCAGCUCGGCUUGAUAUUUUAAACGAAUCGGGCCAAACUUUGAUUUCAGCUUAUUUUCUUAAUGAGCCGCUCGUGUGAGGUGUUCGAUUGACUCAUUAGACUUAAUAACUAAAACAAUACCAAACUUUUAUUUUAUUAAUACAAUGGUAUUAUUAUUAUUAUUAUUAUUAUUAUUAUUAUUAUUAUUAUUAUUAUUUAGCUAAAAUAAGCUUAUUAUUCAACUUUUAAGUCAAAUAUGAUACUAAUAAAGUCUAUUUUAAGUCUCCAAAUGUCUAUGUCAUUCUAAUUUAUUGACUUGUAUUACUUAUUUCCAUAAGCAAAUACUUUUAUAUAUUAUAAAUAUGAUUAAAAUAUUAUAUAUUAGUUAAUAUCUCAUUUGAUCUUAACAUUAUUGUUGAACAAUACUCAGCUCGUGAGCUAAACGAGCGGACUCGAUGCUAACGAACUAAGCUAAACUUAAUUUUCAGCUCGGUAACCGAGCUAGCUCGUAAUCAAACGAGCCACAACGAGGCGAGACUUAACGAGCCGAGCUGGCUCAUCAGCCACCCCUUGGUAUCCAGGUGAACCUGUACGUUCUUCCGUCAGAGAUAAGGCUUAUUUCUUGGCAGCACAAAGUGCUGAUGUAUUUGUUUCGCGUGAUCGCUGGAUGAUACGCAAUGAAUUUUUAACCGGCCGUCUGAAAAGUGUCUGAUUGACUUUAUCUACGUACGUUCAGCUAACAAAAUCAUUUUUGUUCGGCUCAAAAAUCACGACUUUGUCACCACUGUAUCUGAAUCUCGAUUUGCCUGUCAGUAUAGCUUGGUUCACACCUUUUCAUCAUUAAAAAAUAAAGUAAAAUUGUAUGGGAGCUCGUUUACUGGCUCUCAGUUCUCAUACACGAUAAGUGAAAAAUCUCAGCAACAUGUAGCAUCGCCAACCAGACGGUGACGUUUCCAGCUUGACGGACUUAUGGCACAACACAUAUGCCUCUCUGCAGUGUGCACACUGCAUACUGCCAAUCAAACAAAAAAAUUACAUGCAAAUAAACCUCCUCACUGUACUGUGCACGAGCAACCCAUAGGCCAUGGGGAACACACACCGGCCCUUGACACCGUUUCCUCCGUCUAUUAUUUUAAUACAAUAGUUUAAAAAGAAAGAAGCCAUCAUAUUCACCGAGAGGGUAUAGAAAUUACCACGUUAAUCAGAAAAGAGAAGAAUAUGCAUCCCUAGAUUUUAUGAUGAUCCGACGGUCUAGACUAACCCAUAGACUCCAUAACUAAUACGAUAAAUAAAUACAUAUAACUUUGAAAUUAAAUAAAAGAAACAAGACAAAAUAAGACAUCACGUUGUGUCGUACAUACAUCUAUGGACCCACCAGAAGGUUUGGACACUCCUAGAUAUAGGGCUGGACACCGAGACGUGUCAGAUAUGGAGGCUACGGUGCAGAACGGCGUAGUCUACAUGGCAGGAUAGCAACUAGUCAAGGAUUAGUAAACUACUCGUAGCAAUUAGUGUAGGACUUGCCUAGUCGAAUCCGACUAGUAUUCUUGUAAACAACCGACCUAUAACCCUGCCCCGGCAAUAUAAGACGAGGCAGGAACCCCUCUCCAAAGCAAUUCAAUCCAACCAACACACAUGACGUAGGGUAUUACGCAAUCUAGCAGUCCGAACCUGUCUAAAUCGUGUGUCUGAGUUCACCUUUGAAGUUUCUGAUCUCGAUGAUCCCCACGCACUAAACACUACCUUGAGCAUCCCCCUCGGUAGGUUGCCGGGUCUAAACACCGACACGUUGGUAAUAUACAGUAUUGAAACUGAGAUACAACUCUAAUUCAAGUUAGUUUAUACGUAAUACGAUUGGAAAGACAUUAUAAUAGUAGGAAAAUUAUCUACCUACUAAAAUAGCAAAACGAUCAACCUUAUAUACACAUUGACAACCAGGCAAAAAAGACAAAAAGGAUCAGGUGGCACUAUUGUACGCACAUGCCAUGAAGCAACAAAACCGGACCACAACGGUGGAUAGGAUUUAAUUUUGUGGCCGGAAGUCAGUGGUGGAAAUUAAAGAUGAAAACAAAUCUGUAAUUCGAUAAAAGGUGGAGACUUAAACGACUGUGUUAAAUGAAGCAUCACAUUUGCUAAAAGUUUUAGAAAUUUCCAUAUUAAUCUUAGAAAAUGUCCACAAUUAGAUUUCUGAUAGUGUAAUGAUCUAGACCAACCUAAAGAGUCCAUGUCAAAUACGACAAAUAAUUACCGAUUUCCAUACAGUUGGAAGAAAAUUAGCUAAAUAAAGUGUACAGGCUAAAUGCAACUAAUAAAUAACUAAAUUCAGAAUAAAAAUAAUGGAAAAGUGGGUUUUUGAUUUCUUAUUGAUAUAGGGAAUCGUAUUCCAUAAAUAAAGAACCCAUUUAUAUUGUAAUUUGUUUAGAGAUAAAUUUUGAAAUAAAAACAAUAAUUUUCAAGAUCCAUAUGAUUUAGUCAAAGAGUAAAAAAGGCAAUUCCUGCACACCCUCAACGCGUAAUGAUAGACGAGGUCAAAAGUAGAAUCUAGCCACAUACAAAUACAUCAUCCUUUGUCUAUUUGGAAUUAUGUAGGAGAGAAGAAAAAUAAUCACUCCACCAACACCAAACGAGUAGGGCACAUCCUCACAUUGCCAUGCACCCUCUUGCAGUCUUGCCUUAUAUAUGUUCCUUCUCCACACCAUCUCUCACCUUGCGAGGCCCACCGUAUAUAGCGAGAACUAAUUAAGGUCAACCAUCAAUAAUAUUAAUGCUAAUCAAAUCUAAGAGGCACACGGCGGUGACACGAUGGAUGCUGCCUGUUGUACGGGAAUUACAUUGAACUCGAAGAGGGAACAUCAGCAUAUCACAUAUGUGCUAGAUAUUGCACUUGAGCAUGACGACCUAGACCAUGAACAAGACAGGAUAGGGAUUGCAAACAUGCUCGUGAGACAGGGAGGCCAACUGGCCUAGCAAGGCAUGCAGCCGGGCUAGGAUGGAAGCUCCGGGAGGAGGUGCGUACACAGGGGCUGAGCCGCUUCAUCUCGCGCCUUGGCGAACGGGGGUUUCCUCUCUAUCGACUCCUGAAGAAGACGGACCGCUUCGAAUGGACCGACGAGGCCCAUGAGGAACUUGACCGACUCAAGGACCUUCUGACGAAUGCUCCGGUCCUGGUCCCGCCGACCGACGGCGAGCCCCUCCUGCUAUACAUCACGGCGACCACCCAGGUGGUUAGCGCGGCCCUGGUGGUGGAACGAGAAGAGGAGGGACACGCUCUCAAGGUACAACGCCCGGUGUAUUUCAUCAGCGAGGUCUUGUCCGAGUCCAAGGCGCGCUACCCACAGAUCCAGAAGCUCAUCUACGCCGUCCUCAUCACGAAGAGGAAGCUGCGCCACUACUUCACCUCCCACCCGGUAACGGUUGUUUCGUCGUUCCCACUAGGUGAAGUGAUCCGGAACCAAGACGCCACGGGAUGGAUCGCAAAGUGGGCGCUCGAGCUCAUGGACCAGGGGAUCACCUACGCUCCCCGCACCGCCAUCAAGUCCUAGGUACUCGCCGAUUUCGUAGUAGAGUGGACGGAGAUCCAAAUGCCUUCAGCGCCGGAGAAGCAGGAGUACUGGACGAUGUACUUCGACGGGUCGCUGAUGAGGGCCCGUGCCGGAGCGGGUCUCGUCUUCGUCUCUCCUCUAGGCGUGCGCAUCAGGUACAUGAUCCGCCUCCACUUUCCUGCAUCCAACAAUGUCGCCGAGUACGGGGCCCUCCUCAACGGGCUGCACAUCGCCAUCGAGCUGGGCAUCCGUCGGCUAGACAUCCGGGGCGACUCCCAGCUAGUCGUCGAACAAGUCAUGAAGGAGUAGAGCUGCCACGACCCCAAGAUGGCAGCCUACUGCAAUGAGGUUCGCAAGCUUGAAGACAAGUUCGACGGGCUGGAGCUCAAUCACAUCGCAAGGCGCUUCAACGAAGCCGCCGACGAGCUGGCGAAGGCAGCAUCCGGCCGAAUGCCCGUCCCCGACGGCGUCUUCGUCAGCGACCAGUUCAAGCCUUCAAUCCGUCACCCAGAGCCGGCGAGGGUCAGCGAAGCACCCCCGGUCCCGGGGUCGGACCCCGACUUAGGAGAGGUCGGCAGCGCGCCACCCGUCCUAGGCCCGAACAUUAGCCACGACAGGGUCGGCUCCGCUUCGCCUGACUCGGCCCCGGAAGCCGAUCCCUCUGGCCCCAUGGUCAUGGAAAUCGCGGCAGACCCCGCGGCGGGGCCCAACCCCCAGCCGACUGGAGAGCCCCAUACCUCGACUACCUUGUCCACGACACGCUCCCGGCAAAACAAACAGAGGCCCGUAGGAUCGCGCGUCGCGCCAAAUCCUUCGCCGUUAUCGAUCAGGAGCUCUACAAGAGAAGCCACACCGGCAUCCUCCAGCGCUGCAUCCCGAUCGAACAGGGAAAGGCACUGAUCCAGGACAUCCACGCCGGAGCCUGCGGCCACCAUGCUGCGCCAAGGACCCUCGUUGGUAACGCCUUCCGGCAAGGUUUCUACUGGCCGACGGCGGUCGCCGACGCCACCCAGGUAGUCCGCACCUGUGAGGGGUGCCAAUUCUUUGCGUGCCAAACUCACCUGCCCGCGCAGGCGCUACAAACCAUCCCCAUCACGUGGUCGUUCACGGUCUGGGGGCUGGAUCUCGUCGGGCCCUUCAAGAAAGCGCCCGGGGGCUUCACCCACCUACUUGUCGUCGUUGACAAGUUCUCUAAGUGGAUCGAAGCAAGACCGGUGGUGCAAAUCAAGUCCGAGCAGGCGGUACAGUUCUUCACUGACAUCAUCCACCGCUUCGGAAUCCCCAAUUCCAUCAUCACCGACAACGGCACGCAGUUCACCGGGAAGAAAUUCCUUCAGUUCUGCGACGACCACUACAUCCGAGUGGACUGGUCGGCCAUGGCACACCCCCGCACGAACGGGCAGGUCGAGCGAGCCAACGGCAUGAUACUCCAGGGUCUCAAGCCGCGGAUCUUCGACCGCCUCAAAAAGUUUGGCGGACGAUGGGUCGCCGAGCUUCCCGCAGUCCUUUGGAGCCUGAGGACAACCCCCAGUCGGGCGACUGGCUUCACCCCGUUCUUCAUGGUUUACGGGUCCGAGGCCAUCCUGCCCACCGAUCUGGAAUACGGAUCGCCGAGGGUCAAGGCGUACGACGAACAAGGGAACCAGACAUCGCUUGAAGACGCACGAGAUCAACUCGACGAGGCACGAGACGUAGCCCUGCUGCACUCGGCUAAGUAUCAGCAGGCCCUACGGCGUUACCACAGCCGCAAGGUACAAGGCCGAGCCUUCAACGUCGGCGACCUGGUGCUCCGCCUCGUCCAGGAUAACACGGGUCGGCACAAGGUAACUCCCCCUGGGAAGGUCCUUUCAUCAUCGCGCAAGUACUAUGACUAGGCACCUACAAGCUAGCGACCCCCGACGGGCAGAUCUUCGGCAAUGCUUGGAACAUAGAACAGCUAAGACGCUUCUACCCCUAGCUUUUGUUUUCAAGUUUUGUACAUAGACGCUUCUGUAAAUUAAAAAUUUUACGGAAAAAAGAAUUUUGAGUUGGAUCCAUUCAAGUUUCGCUUCGAACUCAGGGAUAUCCGACCCUGGCUCUGCCUCAGGGUCGCACAUCCCUCGGGGUCUAUCAAGGGCUCCGGCCCAAGCCACUUGACAUCCUCUCAAAACACUUUCUCUUCCCGGGCCGACCCUCUUUCUGAACUUUCGGGCAUGAAAAGGAGAGAGUGCACGACUGGUGUUCAGGCAAGACUGAUCGGACUGCGAAAAAACCUACGCCACAGCGGCUACGAUGCCUUCGCUCAUCAAUGCUUACUGACACACCCGACAAAGCACUCUAAACUUUAUAAGCCAAAAAAAUUAGAAAGGGGAUCGAAAACUUUUUCGCGACAAUUUAUAGAAGAGGCCUCUAUGGCCACCACAAAACAAGUCUGAAACUAAUGUAUUUACAUCUGGGGCGCCAGCCCAAUACAGUUAACUCGUCCGGGGAUCUUCGGGCGGGACGGCUUCAUCCUCGAGGAGCUUCGCCAAGGCCUCCGCUGGGUCGAGCACCGACGCGUCGAUCUCGUCCAGCUCGGCCUCGGAGUAGCCGGCGGCAUACCCCCCGCUCAUCCCGGCGAAGUUGAUGCUGGAGUAAUUGGAGCCGGAGACCCCAAAGGCUCGCCUCACGCUGGUAUGGAGCGCCUCUAGGGCUAUCUCGCGGGCCCGGCGGUACGUCCCGAGGACACGAGUUGCCAGCGAGCUCGUCCCCUCCCCCUGGACCACGCCGAGGUCGUCGCAAACGACGCGGACCGCAUCCCGCAGGGCGCCGUGCUCAAUGCGUUCCGCGUCGAGCGCCUCCCUCAGCCGGGUGAGCUCGCCUGCAAGGAUCACCCAGAAGAACCCGCUAAAUCGAAAAUCACCGCAACAUCACAAAGACAAAAGAAAUGAACAGAGUCUUACCCUCAGACUGGGCCUUCAGCUGGCGCUCCCGGUCGAGCCCCUGUGCCACAGAGGCCUGAAGCUCCCGCGCUUGCGCUUGAAGCUGGACGACCUCCACCCCAAGGUCAGUCGCCACCUUCUCGGCCUCCUCCUUCUGGACCUUCUCAGCGUCCCGGUCCUGCCAAACCUUUUGCCGCUCGCGCCGGACGCGCUUGACGGUCUUCUGAAGGGCUUCAUGCUCCCCCUUCAGCCGUGCGAGCUCCUCGGCGUCGUGGCGGGCCUUUUCGGCAGCGGCCUGGAACUCGCGAUCGAGGUGGGCCUUGUCGACGACGGCUUGGAGUUUGGCUUCCGACCGCCGCGCCUCCUCCCACGCCGCUUGCUCGCGCCUUUGCAGGUCGUUGAUGACCCCCUGGGCGGCAGCAACCUGCAUGGAUAGCUCCUUGGUUCACUCCCUCUCCAAGUUGAAGCGCUCCCAGAGCCCCCGCUCCAGCCGGAGGAAAUCAGAUUUCCCCCGACUGCACUCUUGGAGAGCCUGCAAAGCAAUACACCAUCAGGGGCAAGGCAACGGGAAAGGGACAAUCAUCGACAAAAGGGGCGACGUACCUAGCUACCAGGGAGGAUGACGUUGUCCAAAGCCCCCAUCACCGAGGACAGAGCCGCGCGGGCGUUGGUGAGGCCACCCUGCACCGCCUGCCACUUGCGCCACUCCGCGGCGUCAUCCAGGGUGAAGAGGUGCCUCGGCGGGUCCUCACGGGACGUCCAACGCAGGACAGACCCUCUCCACGCCCUGGGAACGGUAGCGGCCAAGGCCGAGGCGGGAGCCGAUCCUGGCGCCGCCGUCGAAGCAGACUCCACCAUCCCGGAAGCCGCUGGGUUCACCGACGGCCCCGGCGCCUGCGCACCUGUUGCCGUCGGGGCCGCCACGGGGUCGCCCGACGGCGUCACUGCCUCCGACGCAGGCGACGGAACAGGUAUCCUCGCGUCUACCUCGCCCUCCACCGCAACCGCCGAGGGAGGCUCCUCCGCUCCUGCCGGAGCCCCUCGAGCGGGCACUUCCGCCUCCGCCGCCAAUGCCACCUCAGCCGGGACCUCCGGGGCAGAGGUCCCCACCUUCGUCACCGCUACCCCCUCCGCCGCAACCGCGGAGGCAGACACUCUCUCCUCCGUCGCCGCCGCUGUCCCCAUCGCAGCUGCAGGAACAUCAGUCCCUGUUCCUGUCGCCGCCGUUCCCUCCGCCUCGUCGGCGUCGAGGUCGAUCACUUCCCCAGCCUGAGGACCCUGGGGAGUGACGCUCUGCACCGAGGGGUUGACCGGGGAAGCGGAAGGUGGAGCGGGGUCCACACCCUCUCCCGCGCCUGAUGACGCCGCCUCUCCGCCGGUCGCCGUCACAGGGGCCGCUUCCUCGGUGGGACCCGCGACCCCACCGGGGACCCCGCCGCUCGCCACGGGCGGGACCGCGGUCCGCCCUGCAGAGGCGGACGACACCCGCAGCGCCUUCUUGGGCGCCAGCUGCAGGACAAGACCACGGGGGGCGGCGCUACCAAACAACAAAUAAAUGUUAGUGGAAACGAACGCAAGGGGGGGGCAAGAGCGAGGUUCACGAGGAAGUCAAACUUACGUUCCUCCGGAGCAAGGACGGCGCGCGCGCUUCGCCUCGGAGCCGGACGCCGACCCCGGGGCAUCUGGCAGCGGCCGCUUGUCGCCGCUCCGCUGCCCUCGAGUCUCAGGCGCGAUAGCGGGGGCGGGCUCCGUGGACCUCCGGGGAGCGCUCCGCGCUGACUCCGGGGGGACGUCCCGCGUCGGCUCCUGGGCGACGGCGGGGGCGGGCUCCAAAGACCUCCGGGGGGCGCUCCGUGCCGGCUCCUGGGAGGCGCCCCGCGCCGACCCCUGGGGGGGCGCCCCGCACCGACCCCUGGGGCGUGGCCCUGGAGCCUUGCGGAACUGAGCCCCGGACAGACGGUCCUUCCGCCUCAUCCAUCACGGCCGCUUGCAGGCGCGUCUCCCGGAUUAUGAGCGCACCCGACCGAGGGGAUAAGACCAGCUCUUCCUCCUCUUCAUCAUCUUCCUCAUCUUCCUCAUCAUCAUCAUCGUCAUCGUCGUCGUCGUCAUCUGACACGACCUGCCCUCUCCGCCGCCGUUGGAACUCCUUGGCGGCCCUCUUCCUGUUUUUCGCCGUCUCCUUGUCCUUACGGCGCUUCUGCUCCUCGGCAAGGAGACAGUUUUGCGUUCGCCGAUCGGCGUCCUCCGGCACCGGCGGACGCGAGUCCACAACCCGGGUCAGCAUGCCCUACAAACACGAGAUAGCCUCGCGUCAGAGCAACGACCAAGAAACACGAAAAAAGAAGGUCGGCACCCCAAUCCAUUACCAGGUCGACGAAGCCCUCAUCCAGGUGCAUCGGCGGGUGUCCAGGCACCGGGUAGUCAGCGUCCUUGUCCUCCAACGCCUCCCGAAUCCGCUGUUGGAUCUCGGAGGCGGCGAGCGCGCCUGCCACCAGAGCGGUGCCCUCGGUCGGUGCGCCCGGAGUCAUGGCGGCGAGCGAACGGACCCGGAGCAUCAGCGGCACCACCCGCCGGGCAUGGUACGCCCCAAUGACCCCGGCGCCGGUAAGCCCCCUCUGCUUCAACUGCUCGAUAGCCUGCAGCAGGUCGAGGAUCCGCUUCUUCUCCUUCUCAACCGGGCCGUACGACCACACCUCCGGCGCCACGUCGAUGGUGCGGCCGGUGAACUCCGGCAGGGGGGAGUUUGAGUAGUUCUUCAGAUAGAACCACUGGUUGUGCCACCCCUUGUGGGACGCCGCGGUCUUCAUCGCCAUAUACUCCUUGGAGCGAGUAUGGCGGAGGUGGAUUUCGACGCACCCGAUCGGCACCGGGGGCGACCGCUGCUGGUUCCCCCUCCUCUCCGUCUUCUGGUACAGGCUCACCGUGAAGAAGUACUUCCACAGCGAGAAGUUGGGCUCGAUGCCCAGAAACCCCUCGCACAGUCCCGAACCUGUCUAAAUCGUGUGUUCGAGUUCACCAUCGAGUUUCUAAUCUCGGCGAGCCCCGUACAUAAAACACUACCUCGAAUACCCCUUGGUAGGUUGCCGGGUCUGACAGGGCCAACUGCAUAUCUUCGUUUUGGGUGGGUUGAGUAUACUUUUCAGUCUUGAGUUUUUGUUAAUUUUGGAUGUAGGAAGUGGCUCCAAUCUGAACAUUUGAUCGUCUGAGAUCUGAAAUUUCUAAUAAUCCAACACCACCCUUAAAAGUUUGUGAACACAAUAUAUUUUUGACACAACUGCCUUAGCCUGCAAGUUCACAUCAUUUUUCCUCGUUAAAUUUUAAAUAGAAUGAUACCCUGAUCAUUGUAUAUUUUUGAUAGUUGUAGUCCUAUCUGGCUACAUCUGAAUGUAUGAUGCCUACUUCUAAAAUAAACGCAUUAUACAAAGCUCAUGUACAGUUUGAAAUUUUUUUUAGUACAUCUUCUUGACUUUUUGUGGUUCUUUUUUUUUAACCAAGUUUAACCAUGAUCAGGAACUGCAGAUCCUUUCUCCUCACUAGCAUUCCUUUGGAAUGCAUCCGUUCUGCCUUUGCGCAUUCGAAGCGGGCGCGACUUUCGUUUUCGGCUCUUGGGUCUGUGUUGCAGAUGGCGCUGGAAACUUCCACUGUCACAUCACGCCGGCUCCGGAGGAGAAGCACUACGACAUUAACCUUCAUCGCCAAGCUUUGAAGGAUUUCGUCAAAAAAUUCAACGAAAUUUUCGACCUAUUCUAUGGCUCCGGGAACGAGUCCGAGUACAACUCGAAUUCUCCCACUAGCCGGAUUGAUUCUCACGAGCUGGCGCUCAAGUCAUUGUGUAAACUUAUUUUUCCAACCACUUAUACACAUGUACGCGCAAUCAAACCUAUGAACGUAUGCACACACCUUCCUCUAUGAGAACCUCAGGGGGAUUGGCCGACAUAUUUGAGAUUGACGAACGCACCCACAAGCGUGUCGUUAGCAAUGGGCACAUCGCUAACCACUAAAAGAAUAGUAUUGCUAAAUCCACAAAAAAAUAGGAACACAUGUACGGAAUAUAGGAUUUAAACCCAAAAUGGUUGGUUAUACUACAAGGAAAUGAACCACAAUUCUAUUUUCUGAAAUUUGCAAAGUUUUAUUCUUUUAAAACAAAAUACACCUGCUUUAUAGAGUGGAUGGAGUAUAUAUGUAUAUCUUAGUACCAUAGGGUAUGUUUGGUUGCCUCGCUAAGGGCUAGCCAGGCUCCCCAGAUCCAACCAACCUAUUUUUGGUUGCCUAGUUAGACCCAUUAGCCAGGCUCCUCCAUAUUCUAGCCAGGUUAGAAGCCAACCAACCAAACAGAUCCUUAGGGUAUGUUUGGUUGAAUGCAUCGUAUAAUAUAUGUAUAGAUGAUCCUGGAUGGUAUGGUUUAACCAAUUUGCUUGAACCAUACGGUUCACCCCUCUUAAUAGAUAGUUAUACCAAGUGGGAUGAUAUUAUCCUAUACGAGUUGGUACAAUUCGUCCAACCAAAUAAAAUAUAACUAUUUAUUUUUGAAUCAUUUCAUAUAUGAAUCAAAUGAUACAUGCAACCAAAUACACCCUUAAUACUAAAAUAAACCACCACAUUCACCGUGAAAACAACAUCAGAGAAAGAGAAAGGUAGAUGGUAUGAUUUGCUAAGCGGAAGAGUUGAGGGAAUUUAAUAAGAUCAACCCCUGGAUACCACACCAACUGCACACAAAGUGGAGAUGCAACAUUAUCAUGGCUAGAGGGUAGGUUGUCCAACUCACUGUGCAAGUACAAAAUUGAAGAGGCCAGUGAAAUAAUAUGUGCUUGAAACUAGCCCAACUAGAAAUAUAAUUGGGCUGAGUGGGUUCGGACUGUAUUUAUGACUAGGCAUGAGCAUUUUGCGGGACGCACUGAAAAUGUAGGACUAGGCAUGAGCAUUUUGCGGGACGCACUGAAAAUGUAGGCUCACUAUCGUCCCGUAAAUAUUGUUGUGCUAAUUUUUUGACCAGACUCGGACUUCCCGUUCUUUUUUAGUUGAAAAAUAAAUAAAAUAAAUUAUCUAAGUGGGUUCGGGCUGGGCCAAAAUUUUCGAACCUGAUUUUCAUUGACCAAACCCGUCCAUGAAGCUAGUGUGGGCGGGCCAAAUCGCAGGGGACUCAGGUCGGGUCCAUGGGCCAGGUCAGACUGAAGUCUAUUUACGACUCCUCUCAACACUACGUAAAGACCCAAUCUUAACUAUAUCCUCUUCAUAAACCUAGGAAUAUUUUGUCACCCAGACUAAACUAUCAGAUAGAAAUUCACAUUACGAGGCAAAAAUAUAUUACUUUUGAUAAAAAAAAGUAUAUUUCUAAAUAAGGUAUUCCCUAUCGUUAUUAAUAUCAUUACCAAUUCAUGUUUCAUGCCAAAAAAUAUAAUGAUUAAAAAGAUGAUACUUGGUAUGGGCCAUUUGAACAAAACAAUAACAAUAAAAUGAAAAAAUAAAAAAAGUUUAAAUUUAUUUUCAAAUUAUGAAACAAAUAUGGCCGCCUCGCUAUUUGCUGCUGCUGAAUUAACCGGAAGCACCCGUCGCUUCUGGAGGGCAGUUGGGGCGCAGGCACUGGCAGAAGGGCAGCAGGUUGGGGAACCCCCAUUGGCAGCGCCCGUCCACGGAGCCGUGCUCCACGCAGCUGCUCCGGCACUUCUCCGUCUUCAGGCAGACGACGUAGUGCACGUGGUCGUCCACCCAGCAGUCGUCGUCCGACGACCCAAGAACAGCCGGCGCCAAGCCUGCAGAUUUAAGUUAAUUUUCACAUGAUCCAGAGACCGGCAGUGGGUUCUCAGAUGCUUGGGGUUUCAUGCGACUUGAUGAGACAUUGUCCGGAAAGAUACGCCGCCGUAUUACCUGAGUUCAAGAGGAGUAGCAGAGUGAGGAGACCUGAAGCCAUCGCCUUCCUUGCCAUCCCCAUUUCUGCCACCACGCUGAGGAGAGAAGCCUGGAUGCAAUCUCUACCUCUUUAUGCGCGCACGCACUCACGUCCAGAGGUGCUGAUGGAUGAAUGCCAGCCCACCAGCCAUUUAAAUUGUUUUCAUAUAUUAAUUGGAGUAAUUCAUAGAACUAGAUAGUUUCCAUAUUAAUGAGAAGUAGGAUACCAUACGAAAAGAAAAGACAUUAUGGUCAUCUAUUUCUUUCUGUGAUCGUAUCGUAAUCAAUGGCUUGGGCACGCGACAAAUUCUGCUACCCAGUGGUUUAGGCUUGGCCUGCCCGCUCGGAUAAACGAGAGGAGGCCGUUGCAUAGAUCUCGGAUUGGCGAAGGGCUCUCACGUCUGCAGAGCAGCAGGAGAUCCGUGCGCAGCAAACGGAGGGCGUCGACGAUGAUGACGCGCCACGCUUUGCCGAAACACAGCCGGACGCGGCGAGGCGGCCGGGUCCAGGACGCCCGUUCGGGAGGAGGUCGUCAGGCUCAGGCAGCAGCCGCCAGCGCCAGGUCGCCCGUGGAUCCCUAGAUCCCGUCGGUUCCUUGGCAACUCGUGGGCGAAAUCUGGAGACACAUAAAGUCCGGUUCGGUUUCGGCACGGCGGCAACAAAGUCAGCGCCGGCUCAGGGUUUGCGCUGGCGUAUUGCUUUGCGAUUCCGGCUGCCCAAAAUGUUGGGUGGCUGCAUAUGCAUCUCCACGGAUUGCCCACAUUCUUAGAGCAUCUUCAACGGAUCUAAAAUUUAUUUUAGGUAUAGGAUAGAGAAAAAUUUUAGAUAAUUAGUGUGCUCUUCUCCAACAGCUUUGGUAAAUGAAUAUUCAUCCAAGGACUAUUCCGCAAACAAAAUCUUUUUUAGGCUAAAGUCCCGAUGGAUUCUUUAGUCCCUCUUAAGUCUUAAGAGUAACUCGAAGAGACUGUUAAUCUUACCUCCAAUACUUGUUUUAGGGGAAAAAAAGAGAGAGAAAACGAACUCCAAUAGUACACUCAAACCUUCCCCAAUUUUUUAGUGAUGCUAAAAAAUAGUCUGCCACCGCGUAUAUUUUAGCAUUGCCGUUCCUCCCCCAAUCCAUCAUUUUUUUCUCCUCUUUCCAUCCUCCCGCCGCCCAUCCACCCACGCGCAGCACCACUACCUGCUCGACGGCGCGCCGCGGAGCCAGGGGCAUGUGUCAGCCGUGCCACGCGCAUGCGCGGCCAACGCAGGAGCGGGAGCGAGACCUCGCCGGGCCCUACGCGCGGGAGAUUGGCACCUGCGUCCGCGCGUGGUGCGAGGCGUUCGUGUUCAUGCGCGCUGCGGGUGCUGUGCCGGACAGGUUCCUCCUCCCGCAGUGCUCCACACCUGCGCCGGGCUGGGCGUCCCUCACCUCGCGGUUUGCAACUUUGCUUUAAAAGUUUCGGUCAGAACUGACAACCACAGAACAUUGAUGGAGGAUUGGAUGCUUCCUUCAUCCAGCCCAAGAACACUGAUGUCAAGCUUCUCAAACGAAGAAUUCAGCUCUUGUCCAUUCUUCAGCUUCUUCAAUGACAAUGGCAUGGAUGCAAUUGAGAAGAGCAAAACUUUGGGGAUAGGAGCUAAACUUUUGCUCUGUCACAUCAAAUGUUUGGAUGUUAAUUAGGAGGACUAAACAUAAGUUAAUUAAAAAAUUAAUUGCAGAAUCCCUAGGUUAAAUCGCGAGACGAAUCAAUUAAGCCUAAUUAAUCAUCAUUAGCGAAUGGUUACUGUAGCAACACAUUAUCAAAUCAUGGACUAAUUAGGCUUAAUAGAUUCGUCUCGCAAUUUAGCCUAGGGAUUGUGCAAUUAGUUUUGUAAUUAGUCUAUAUUUAAUACUCCUAAUUAGUGUCAAACAUCCGAUGUGAUAGGGGCUAAAAUUUAGCUUAGGGGAGCCAAACACCCCCUUUAGUUGAUUCGAGCGUUGAAGAAACUGUUCAAGAUACAAAAGCCCCUCUGCAGCUUGAAUCAAACCUUUUUAGCGCAAAUCUGGAUGAAGAUCCAAAGGUAGAGGGGGCUUCGUUUCGAAGGUAGGCCCAAUUACGAUGACGUGGAAAAUAUUGGAGAGUAGUUUUUAGUAUUCUGCUGUGACCUCAUAUGUUUUUUGGGGGAAAAUUUUUUAGCAUAGCCCCCAAUACCUCAUUUUGGGAAGAAUUUUUUGGGGAACUUUUGAAGUUGCUCUAAGGUUCCUAUCACAUCGAAUGUUUAGAUACUAAUUAGGAGUAUUAAACAUAGACUAAUUACAAAACUAAUUGCACAGAUGGAGGCUAAUUUGCGAGACGAAUCUAUUAAGACUAAUUAGUCCAUAAUUUGACAAUGUGAUACUACAGUAAACAUGUGCUCAUGAUGGAUUAAUUAGGCUUAAUAGAUUCAUCUCGCGAAUAAGCCUCCAUGUGUAAUUAGUUUUAUAAUUAGCUCAUGCUAAUUAGCCUCCGAAUAUUCGAUAACUUUAGUCCAGACUAAAGAUCAAGCACCCCCUAAUUUGCAAAAUUGAUUUCUCCUCUCCCUAUCCUCUUCCUCCCCGCCGCUCUCUUCUCCUUAUCCUCUGCUCUCCUCCCCCGCCGUCCUCUACUCCCGGCCAUCGCCACCCGCUGCUCCUCCCCGCGCGGCCGCUCUCCCCACGCCGGCCAACCGCAGCUCCCCUCGGCCUCCCCGCGCAGGCUGCCCCCUGCUCCGACCGCGCCAGCCCGCCGCUGCUCAGCCCGCGCCGCUAGCUCCUCUGCUUCUCCCACGGCGGGGUCGUGGCCGGCGGAGCUGCCCGAGGUCGCUGCCGGCGGCGGGGCUGGAGGCGUGGCGCCGGGCCGUGGCCGGAGGCGCGCCGCCGGGCUGGAGCCGUUGCCCCCAAAUUGAGCUCUGCAUGCGCCGACGCUCAUCGGAGGAUGACCUCCAAUUGAGGCGGCGAGUUGUGCGGCGGAGGGGCUGGUUGAGGGCAAAUCAGUUUUGGAGGGUGAGGCCAGGCGGGCGGCGAGGUCAGCUAUGAGAUCCGGCGGCUGGAGGAGUCGCCGGUGGGAAAAGCAUGGUGGCGGGCGGGGCGGUUGGUUCCCGCGUGAGCCCCCUGCAGUUUUACCAAUCCAGAGGUCUGGAUUGGUGUUACUAGUAUACCGCAGGUGCGACACGCACGUAUUUAAAAAAAAUUUACUGAACAUGUCUUUUAUAGAACUUUGAUUAGAAUUAUAAACCGCUUACCAGCAAAAACAAGUGAGAAUAAUCCUACCCAAAUCUCUACUCCUAAAAAACCAAAGAGGAGAAAAAACUUCGUACGUCGUCUGUCAUCCACUCCGUUCACUCGUCCGUUGGCUCCUGCGUCCUCCGCACAACCCGGUCCGCCCUCCGAUGAAACGCCAUCUGAAGCCCAACGCGCGCACUGUCCGCUGCUCCUACUCCAUCCCCGCGCUUCACGCUCGGCCAUCCGAUGUUACCCUUGCUCGCCUACUCCUCCUCCCUCGCCCUGCAUCGCCGCCGUCACCUGCAAUCCGCAUCACUUCGUCUCGCUCGGCCUGCAACGCCGCCCGCAAUCCGCCUGACCUCUGCUCGCUCGACCUGUAACGCCGCCGCCGCCCGCAUUCCACCUGACCUCGGCUCCCUCGGCCUGCUUCGCCGCCGCCGCUGCAGCCGCCGCCACCACCACUGCGCAGCCAGCCUCGCCCGUCCUCCUCCUCUCCUCCAUCGCACUGCGCAGCCGGUGCUGCCCGCCCGCCCUCCUCCUCGGCACGGUCUCCCUACAUAGCCGACGCCGCCAGCCCGCCCUCCUCCUCUCCUCGCCGGGGACACGGCGCCAACGAGCCAGGUUCUAUGUAUUUGAGUUCUAUGUACUUGCAAGAAAUGCUUCAAUUCAAUCUCAUAAUCUGAAUGCUUUUGAGAAAUCAUCUAGAUUGCAUCUUGAUUGCAGUACGAGCUAGAGAAGUCCCCUGCCCCUCGCCCGGGCUCGUCGCUCCCGCCAUUGCGAGCGGCGAAGCGGGUGGUGCUGGUGCGGCACGGGCAGUGGCAGAGCACGUGGAAUGCGGAGGGCCGCAUCCAGGGGAGCUCCGACAUAUCCGUGCUCACGGCCAAGGGUGAGUAUCAGGCCGAGACCUCCCGCCAGAUGCUCCUCUUCGACUCCUUUCACGCCUGCUUCACCAGCCCGCUCGCGCGCUCCCGCCGCACCGCCGAGAUCAUCUGGGAAGGACGUGACGAUGACCUCAUCCCGGACUCCGACCUCCGCGAGAUCGAUCUGAUUUUUGCAUACCAUGUAAUCUGUUCAAUGCUGGCAGGGUGUUUGUGGGAAUGCUUGCCCGAAUUCAGUUCUGCUAACUUGCUGAUUCCUAAUCAGGUGCUUGUGGAAAUGCCUGAGUGCGAUGAGCAGCUGGUGAUUCUGAUUUCCAGGGACUGCUGAAGAAUGAAGGGAAGAAGAGAUACGGGGUAUUGUACAAGCAGUGGCAGAAGAGUGCGUCCAACUUCAGCAUUGACGGGCAUUACCCCGUGCUGUGAGCUAUGGGAUCGUGCACAAAGCUACUGGGAGAGGAUUCUACGAGGGCAAGUCAGUACUUUUUGUCAUAUGUAGUAGAUGGCACCGAUUUUCAGAUGGAUUUGUACUGCUAUUUGGGUUCGGGGCAAGAUAAUCACUUCUUCCUCCAUUUCUGUACUCUGGUUCUCGACAGAUCGAUGUUCGUUUUGCAGGGUCCCGCCCAAGCUCAGGACCUGAGGGAUUCACUGGCUGAAGCAAAGUCGGACAUUGUUGUCAAGGUUAGUUCUUCUCUUUUAUGGACCAUAUAUCAGCCCUGGUGCAUGGAGCUAUCUGUUUAUAUGAAUACCAAAUUGACUGAAAGAUGUACAACUGGGUCAAAUGAUCUUAGUUCCACAAGGCAUCAAACAAGUUUAUAAAAAGUAUGUAUCCAUCAGUGGUGGGUUCAUUAUUUCAUUGUGCACAUGAAGAGUGCAUUAUUUUGCCCUUCGGCGGCAGGUUUCUUAAUUUUCUUACUGACCUUAUUUCAUUGCCUUUUAAAAAAUUGAUUCAUGGACAACGUGGAGUAGGAUGACCCUUGCCAUUGGCUACACAAGGAUGAUUCAUACCAGCCAGCCCAAAUUUGUACAAGCUUCAAUUCCAUUUAAUUAGACUAAAUUAUACUUUAUGCAAUAUCAUAAUAUGAGGGGCUUUGCUACAGAACUCAUAUGUUUGCUCAAUUAUUCUAGAAAGGAGCCACUGGUUUCUACUGGAAUAAUGGUAAGUCAUGGGUUAUUUAAGAAUGGUGGGAUAUCAGGUUGCAUCUAUUACUGAAAGCUAGCUAUUUUUACUGAAUGAGGGGUAAUUGUUGACUUUGUAUUGAGCUGGGAAGAAAAAUUGUACUUGUAUGCAUGCGCGGAGCUAAUGUUUUCCUAUAUGCAGCUUGGUCAGCAGCACUACAUACAGACAUAUAUUGCUUGUGGUUUCAAAUAUCAAAGGUAUAAUAUGAAUUUUGGAAUAUAGCUACGCUGACUGCUUGCAGUUGAAUUUUGUGCAAAGUUGCAGCUUGUGAUAGAUAUGUAGCUUAGCUCUCAAAUGGAAAUUAGGUGCCUCGCCUUUGUUUACAUUUCUGCUUAUUGGGUCCUAGAUUGGGCAAUUUCAUUGCUUACAACUGAACUUAUUUGAGUUGACGUGCAUAGGAUAAUUCAUAUAGAUAGUACCAAUCUGCUGAGCAUAAUUUGACCCUGUGCAAAGCUAGGGAGUGCUCAUCUCUACUUCUCUACUCUAUCUGAAUGCGGCUUAAUAUGGGCUUAAGUUGAUAAAAUCAUGAUUUAGGAAACUGUCAUUUUUCUGUCUGAAGAAAGUAUCUGUUAUCUUAAAAAAAUUAUGUUCAUUCUUGGCUUCAGACAUUUGGUUUACAUUCGAUCUAAUUCGCUUAUUUGACCCAACAUGCUUGUCUGAUAAAAGAAAAAGCAGCAACCUGUUCAUUGUAAUGUUUCUGAAAAUGGCAAAUUCUUUUUAGGUUGAUUUUUUUUUCUAUACUUUGAUGCUCUUGAAGCUUAGUGUUUGAAUGUUUUACUCUGCACCUUCUGGCAUGUAAACCCUUUAGGUAUUCAAUUUGAGACCAACUGUGAAGUUGGUGUUUUCUCCAUGCUGCGUGGUUGCAAUUAGAGACUCAGAGAAGUUAUACAGGUCAGUAUUACUUAUCAAUGGUACUAUAGUAGAUAUUUGAGCAGUUCAAAAUCCAAAAUAGUAUCUCAUGUUAAAUCUCCUAGCUGAUUGUGGUGUGGAUGCCUUAUUUUCUCAUAAUGCAGGAUGUAGCUGUGAUGUUAAGAACAUUUCUGUUGCUUUUUGUGUUUUUUUUUUGCUGAGAGCCAUAACCUAUAGACAAGUGAGUCUUGCUAUAUUUGUCAGCUAUAAAAUGUCACUUAAACCUCUAUUGGUCCUGAUGAAUGUGAAGGGCUGGGGAUUUCUCCCUGGAACUCUAAAAGGAGGUUGUCAGUUCUUUGAAUAAUGUUUUGACUUAUGUUUGUCACAGUAAAGAUAUAACACCUUCUCUCCAAUCAAGCAAUGGUACUUUAACAGUGGUUUUCAAUAACGGAUGAUAUGAUUUGUUUUGCCCGUAGCAACGCACGGGCACAGUCCUAGUGUAUACCUUAUUCGUCAAUUGUCACUUACCACAUAAACCGCUUAGUGCAAGGAGGAAACAAUGGGCAGGCCGCUUGUCUCCUACGCAGUCCGAGCCAUACUCAUAUGUAGCAGAUGCGUAGUCCGAGCCAUACUCAUAUGUAGCAGAUGAAGUUCGCCUUGGUUCCCUCCUUCCUUUUCCCUAGUACCCAACGAGCCAUGCGCCCGCUACCGUCCGGCGUAUUGGACCCAUGCCGCCACCGUCCUCUCGGUGCCUUCCGCAUCUCCCUCCCUCCUUUGUGUUACCAUGAAUGACAAAUAUACUUCUUCAAUUGUAUAAUAUUUGCAUUAAAAUAACAACCACUUAUAGUUGUACGACCACUCUCGGUAUGGCAAAACUGUGAUGUGUGAUGGCAAAGUUGCGCAUAAGAAAUAAUAAAUAACAACCCCUACCCCACACACACAAUUUGAAAAUAAUUUUCAAAUCAUCAAAAACAUCAAGUAAUGCACAUUGUGUACUUGUUUUCUUCUAUAUUCGAACUUCAUCUUUUGCCUUUUAUGUUCUGCUGGAUCAACAUUUUCAAUUUUCAUCACCACCUGCAAUUUUAAAAUACCUUGGUCACAAUUUAUGAUGAUCAGAAAAAACCAAACCAAGUAAUCUGAGAUGAAAAAAUAUAUAAAUACCAUAUUUUCCGCCAGAAAAUCUUUCUUGUAUUAUCAAAUGAGGCCAACCAAACUCUCCUCUUGACCUCUCAUGACCAUAUCCGAUCCAGACCGGGUUUUGUUAUGCUUGUGGGCUAGCAGUUCAAUCUUGCUCUAUUUGUCUGAUCAUUAAGGGGGUGUUUGGAUACACCCUCUAAACUUUAGUACCUAUCACAUCGAAUGUUUGGAUACUAAUUAGGAGUAUUAAAUAUAGUCUAAUUACAAAACUAAUUGCACAGAUGGAGUCUAAUUCACGAGACAGGAAUCACUCGAUAAGUUGAAUCGAUAGGCAAACAGGAAUCCAAGACGGCCACGGGCCUCUUCUUUGUUACGUUUCGUAGUUUUCCGAUUUCAAUAUUUAAAGAGGUACUGAUGUAAAAUCUUCAGUUACUUUGACCUUAUAGGGGAAAAAAACUCAUCGGUGACUCGUGUAGUGGUUUGAAAACGAUAAAAAUUCUGGAAAACGCCUAAAUUUUGAGAAAACCCUCUUAUACAGGGGAAAAAACACUAAUACCACCUGCAGAUUCACGCACAUUUCACACGAAAUACGUCUCUAUCCGCGUGCAACAUCCCCCAGUCCGCAUUCCAACAAGACAACAACCAUUGACCAAAGUCUCAGUCGGAACUGGCUAAUUCAAUUGUACCCAAGUGGAUAUACCGUAUAUGAGAACGUGGAUUAUAUUCUAGACUUGGUCAACAGAAGAACCCACAAUUUUGAGCCAAUUUCGUGGAGCUUUCGCCGGCUCCAGCUCCACCUAAUAUAUUAUUGUUCAUGUGCUACAGUGAUACUAAUUACAGGAGCUGAUUUCCUCUCUUCUCCUUCCUUCACCGACAUUGGAGGAGCCGAUCGAGCAACAAAUUAUGCAUCCUCCGGCUCCAACCUCUAACACAACAGUGCGGGUGUCAGCAGGAACCGGAGCCGGCCGGAACUCCUCCAAACGCGUCCUUUAUAUUGCCUAGUAUAGCUUUGAUUCUUUAGAGCGACAGGAACUGAUCAACUGAAGCCGCCUCUUCCCCGCAACCGACUUGAACGUUUCCCUUCACUUUAGCGUGCGCUUCCACUUCCACGACCACGUGACGUCGGACUCCGCGUCCCGUUCCGCUUUUCCAUUCCACCUGCAUUUCACACUUUCCCCUGUUCUUGCCUCUCCUUUUCCUUGUCUACUGCAAGUACUGGUCGCAAUUUUCCGCUAAAGAAAAGCACCGGCAGCAUUUUUUUUCCCCACCGAUCCAUCAAGAUAGGGUCCUUCUCGGAGGAGCGGAUUGGGCAGCUGCCCGCUUAUUGACUCGUUCCUGGCGGCUAUUGUGAAAUUCUUUAGCCUGUCCUAUUGGCUUUCUUCCCGUAAUCCGCUUCUCCAUUUUCUGGCCACCGACCCAAACCACGCGGCUUGUUCUUGUGGAAUCCAUCUCAAGGGCGGAGGAAAGGUAGGAUCUUCGGCGCUGAUUCUUGGAGGAGCAACUCGUUCUUCGAGGAAAACCAGCGGGUUUUGGUGCUUCUUUAGGGUUGUGUUCUUGCGAAGUUGCUCUUAAGACUUCAGGCAUGGGGACUUGUCGGAGGAGAGUCCCGGCGGUGUGUUUCUUCUUCUGGUUCUUGAUGGGGUUUCAGCUGUGCGCGUCUCUCAAUCAUGAAGGUACUGGGUUUGUGGUCUGGAUCGCUUGCUUGGGUGGGUCUUUCACUCUUUUGUCCCUCCAACCUUUGUUUUGACAAUGUUUUGGGGGUUCUUUGCUGAAUUGCAGGUGCUGCUCUGCUGAAAUUUAAAGAGGUGGUCGAUGCGGACCCGUAUGGCGCUCUCAAGAGUUGGGAUGAAGGGAGUAUGAGCCCUUGUUCUUGGUUCGGUGUGGAGUGCUCUGAUGAUGGACUGGUCAUGACCCUGUAAGUUGUUCUCUUUUGCACAGCAAAAGACAAGUACACACAAAAAAAAAUCAUUUGUGGAUAUAUAUUUAUGAACUAUCUAAAAUAACCUGUGAUGUUAGGAAUCAUAGCUUAGUCCGUGGAGGUGUCCGUCUACGCAUUCGUGUUUUCUCUAGUGUAAAGUAGCGAUAUUUAUUUUGUGCUUGAAUUUAGAGCGUAAUACUAUGUGGUUGUUUCUAAUUAAUCAUGUCUAUGUGUUACCCUAAAUCUGAGUAUGCAAUUAUGCAGGAACUUAGCAAAUCUUGGUCUAAAGGGUGUUUUACCUCCUGAGAUUGGAAAGCUUGUGCAUAUGAAAUCUCUGUAAGCACAUUCUAUACUUGCUUCAGGAGUAUUUUGCUUUUGCUGAUGCGUAUUUUACACAUUGAUUUGGAAACUUUUAAUCAGUAUGAUUUCUUAAUUCUAAAUUUUGAUGGCCUCAGGAUCUUAAGCCUUUCAGAUGUAAAUUCAGGAAUGUCAUCUAGUGUUUUAGUUUUCUUUCUGAGUAUCUAGUUAGAUAAAGCAGGGUUGUUUCUUAUUUGAUGCGCUUACUGUAAUAAACCUUUGAGUUUAGUUGGAACUUAAACAAAUGAAUACCUUAGAAUGGGUUUGAAAAAAAAAAAGAAAGAUAAGCUGUUGUCAUGCAAAUAUCCACUUACAAAUCCUAUCUUGGAUGACCUUUUUCUUAAAAUAAAAAAUCCUUGGUUAUUGUAGCCUGUGGUUUACAAAUUUGAAUUUAAAGAACUUCUUCCUAUCAUCAGUUGGAAGUUCAUCUGAUGAAUAGUGCAUGCCUACUCAACCAAAAAGAUCUUAUUUCAAUGUUUGUAUCUGCAGUUUUGUAUUUGCCUUUUUGGAAGGUUUACCAACUGCUUGGUAUCCUGAUUUAGUUUUGUUUUCCCAUACAGCAUUCUUCACAACAACUCGUUCUAUGGUAUCAUACCUACAGAAAUAGGACAUCUACAGGAUAUAAAGAUGCUGGAUCUGGGAUAUAAUAAUUUCAGUGGAUCAAUUCCAUCAGAUUUGCAAAACAUUUUAUCCCUAGAAUUUCUGUGAGUGAGAACUUCAUGUAACAAGUGUUUCUCUCAGAUUAACUUCACUACCUGACAUUGAUUUCAUUGUUCGAGGUACAGAUUUCUUAAAGGCAACAGGCUUUCCGGGGGUUUACCGGUUGGAUUACAUGAGCUAACUAGGAUAUGUGAAUCUGAAAAUCAAGACAUAAAUUGGUUAAACAGGGUACUCACUGCAAGGUUUGCUACGAUCAGAGUCAGAAGACUGUUACUGAGCAAACGAAAAGAUUCCGAAAUGAUUCACAUUCCAGAGCAUCGAGUAAGGAUACCCCCCUUCCAGAGGGGGUUUCCACCGCUGAAUUCUCCACUGGCACCAUCUCCUCCUGAACCCAUUCCAACCCCUCCUGCAUCACCCCCCAUAGAGCAAACUAAAAGCAAAGAGAACAAGAGCAACAGUAGUUCAAAAAUAUAUGCAUCGAUUGGAGCAACUUUUGGGUUUUUGGUGGUAGCCUUGUCAGCUGUAUGCUUCUUUUACUACUGCCACAGGAAGACUAGCACUGUUGUACCCUUGUCUGCAACCACUUCAAGCAAGCAAUUACAAACCACUGCCAUGGAAGGUUGGUAGAUGUGCUAAUGUUUUGCCAUGCAGUUUUGUUCAAUGCUAACUUUUCUGUAGUCGUUUCUAUUUCUGUAGUUUGCUUAUGGCUAGGGUGAACAUUGCAUAUUGCUUUACUCCAAUACACAAACAGAACAGAGGCAAAUUCUAACCCCUAUUUAUGCAGGGAUAACUAUAUUCAGACGGUCUGAGCUUGAAACAGCCUGUGAAGGUUUCAGCAACAUAAUUGGCACACUACCUGGAUUUACACUGUAUAAAGGAACUCUCCCCUGCGGAGCGGAAAUAGCUGUGGUGUCUACAAUGGUAGCUUACGCGGGAGGUUGGUCUGCUAUAGCUGAAGCACAUUUCAUGAACAAGGUAUAAGUUGGUUUUUCUCUCCCAUUCCUUUUCCAAACUGUAAGAGCUGGUUUUUGAGCAUGAUUAUACUUUGCAUUUCUAGGUGGAAGCAUUAUCAAAGGUAAACCAUAAGAAUCUUAUGAACCUUGUGGGUUACUGUGAAGAUGAAACACCAUUUAUUCGGAUGAUGGUGUUCGAAUAUGUUUCAAAUGGAUCACUAUUCGAGCGCUUGCAUGGUAAAUUCAAUUGUGAGCUACCUUUUUGUUUUAAGGGUACAUUGUGGGGUAUUGUGAGGCUGCAAAGACCUUGUUAUCUGUUAUUGACAGUCUUCACACUAGGGCUUAUGGAAUUAGCAACUGUUGACGUGAUAUUCAUAUUAGUAUUUUGCUAAGCACCAUCAAAACAUUGUUAUUGCAGUUAAAGAAGCCGAGCACUUGGAUUGGCAAUCGCGCCUACGGAUAGCUAUGGGAGUAGUGUACUGUCUGAGCUACAGGCACCAGCAGAACAUUCCUGUAACCCUAAGGAGUCUAAACAGUUCAUGCAUAUACUUGACUGAAGAUGAUGCCACAAAGGUUUCAGACAUCAGCUUUGGCGCUGGCAAGAAAGAAGAUGAAGAUGAAGAUGAAGAUGAUGCUCCUGAUGAGUACAGCACAGUGUAUAAGUUCGCUUUGCUACUACUUGAGACGAUCUCUGGAAGGCGUCCAUAUUCUGACGAUGAUGGCCUCCUUGUUCUAUGGUCACAGAGAUAUCUUAAUGGUGUUAGCCCCGUGAUGGGUAUGGUCGACCCAACGCUAAAUUCAGUCCCUGAGGAGCAUGUCAGGGCAUUCUCAGAGCUGAUUCGUUUAUGCAUAACCGAGGACCGAAGGCGGAGACCGACAAUGGCAGAGCUAACCAAGAGGAUGCAAGAAAUCACUGGGAUCACUCAAGAUCAGGCGAUUCCGAGGAAAAGUGCUCUGUGGUGGGCUGAACUUGAAAUCAUUUCGGCAUAGAGACAGUCAAUUGUGCUAACUUGCAGCAACUCUGCAAUUCUGACCAUUUGCUAGGAGAAAUAUAGAAGAUUGUACAGUUUAGUACUUUUAGGCAGGGCUUACAGUUGUACAGAUAUGCCUGAGUACGCCAUUCUUUCAUUCUUUUUUAUUUACCAAGCAUUCUUUCAUUCUUUGCUCUAUGAGGAGCAGAUAAAUCUUGGAAAACCUGUAAAGUUUAUACCAUUUCUUGUAUCAGUCAAAUAUGAGCAAAGUGAACACAUGCAUAUGUGUUCUCAGCAUUCCUACUGAAAAACAUUUGUUAAUUUCCACAGUUUUGAAAUCGAUACAUGUGGCAUGCCAAAGGCAAAUUGGCAAUCACCGGCUGGUUUUAUUGAAGGCGUGGAAUAUGAAAAGAAACAUGAAAACAGCCAUCCCUAAUAUGUGCAAUUUGGCUCUCACGUCGAUCAAAAGUGCCAUCAUCUUCUGUUAUUCCCCGCAUUGCUUCUCCGCGCGUUGGUGAGCCACGACUCGGACGGCGGCGACAACGGCGGCAUCUUGACCGACAUCGAGCGCAGCAUCGAGGCCCCUGGCUUACCGCUCCGCCUCUCCCUGCCGAUCCUUGGGCUGUCGCCGCCGUCCGUUCCAGAGCGGGUCAGCCUGCUCAGAGCCUUCCUUGCGUCGGCGCAGUACCUCUUGCUCGUGCCGAGGAGCGCCAUGCCCCACCCUGGAUUCGACCACUCCUUGCCACUGCCGCUCUUCUCAUCGUGCCAGCGCGACAGGCCGCUGUCGCGUAGCUUCCGCUCCUUCUCCAGGACAUCGCCUAGCGUGAUGCUCCGGCGAGGAGGAGAGGACGCGGCGGCAGAGACGACGUCGGCGCGCGGCGUCCGGGAACGCGCCGGGCUACGCUGGAAACCGAGGAGCACCGGCUUGGCGCUCCAGGGGACGAAGAACAUGAACCCGCACGCCCUCGGGGUCAUCCGGUCGCCUUGCGCGUCCUCGUUGACGCGCGGCGGGGGCUGCGCCUGUGCCGCUGCCGCGUCCGUGCACUGGCGCGGCAGGGUGUGUUUGGGCUGCUCGCGGGCGAGAGCGCGGCGCCGUAUGUGCGCGACGUCGUGCCUGGCUCUGGCCGGGGCCUCGGCGUCCUUGGCGUGCCUUGACUUGGAGCGCAGCAAGGGCGACCGCCUCCUCGGGUGCUUGUCCGCGGACGUGGUGGCGAUGGCAUUGGCGGCCGGGAGGAAGCGGUCCAUGAUGAAGCUCGGCGAGCGGCGCGAGCCGAAGACGCCGUCGAUGGCGCUCAGCCGUGCGGAGAGCGCGGCGAGCCGGUCGGAGGACGAGAUCCUGUCAAGAGCUUCGGAGAAGGUGUCGUCGUCAUGGACGCUGCUCGAGUCGGUGGUGUUGCUGUGGUGGCAGGCCCGCGCGCGGCACGGGCCGCCGCACCGCCCCGGCGGUGGCUUCGGCAGCAGCGGCACCUCCCGCUCCUUGCCUCCUCCGCCAGCACACGCCGCGCUCUUGGGCACGCCCGGCGAGCUCUCCCACUUGAACGGCACAUGGCCGCGCUGCGGGGACGCGUCGGCGCGGCCGCGGCGCGAGGCGGGCGACGCGUCGGCGGCCCGCCCGCAGCACGAGCGGCGCGGCGUCGGGAGCGGCGACUCGAGCAGCUGCGCGACGACGUGCCCGCUGCUGCCCUUCCGCCGCCUCCGGUGAUCGGGGCCAACGGUCACCGCGACGUCCAUUCCGCCGCCGCCCGCCGCUCCCCGUAAGCAGCAGCAACUACUACGGCGGCAUCGCAUGCACGCACCACCAACGCGGGAGGCGUAUAAAAGGCAGGCGCUGCGUGGUCCGGUGGUUGGAGAUCGAUAUGCGCGCGGGCGCGGGCACUGCUGGAGCGAAUCGGCAAAGGCUCUAGAGACGAUGGUGGUUGGGCGUUGGUCGGUUGGACCUCCAUGGAGUGAGCUCCCUACUUCUCGUGAAGGCGUUUAUAGGCCUCGAUGGAGGUUGCCGAAAGGGGAGCUGGCGCGCGCGGCGCGCUUGUGGCGAAAGGUUAUCUUAUUUGCAAGUGUGCACCUCCACGGCUCCACCACUUGCACAGCCGCUUGUUGAGCAGCUUUCGUUCAAAAUUUUGAAACUUUUGAUUAUGAAUGGUUUUCAAAGUAAGUGGUUCGGAAACAUAAAAAAAUCAUAUUCAUAGAUCAUCUUGAAAAAUACUUCCGUAACAUCAUAAAUUUAUUCUAUUUGUUAGCAUAUUAGAAUAGAUCAAUGGUGGUCAAAAUGUAAGAUGUGACUGGAUAAAGUAUUAUUUCGAUUGCUCUAACUACACAAGAGUUGAGCUACAGCUGAGAAUGUGCUGUCCAAUUCUAGAAGAGAAUUUGUGCUCGCUGUCGCUGAAGAUCGACGCUGUGGAUGCAGAACCGCAUAUAAUCCCAAGUGUUUUUAGACGAACAGAUCAGAUCCAGCACAGGACAUGACAGUAACAUUGGCAGUACAGGUACUGAAUCAGCGGCAGCAAAUUUUAGGUGAUGGUUUACGCGGGGACGAGGUGUUAAAUGCUGUUGCUGUUUGUGCUACUACUGACUUGACAACAUCCUACUGAGGUUAAUUAUCGUUUCUCAUUAUGUGUUACGGUGCUGACUUGACUAGUGUUUUAAUGCAUCAUGUACCUGUGAAAUCUCAGAACAACCUACUGGCUCCUACUUACAUAGUUACAUCCUGCAAGUGUGGUUUAACCAAGAGUGUUUAUUUCUGCUAUUUGUAUUGGGACACAGAAAUGUUCUUCUUUUCCUGAUUUUAAGUGGGCCGUCAGGCGCCACCGGUGCGUUCGGUGCAAAUCCAGCCCGCUAAAGCCCAAGGCCCAUCCUUUAAUGGCAGCUCAUUCGGCUUAUUCGCCACGGGGGGCGCACGUCUUGCUAAACACGAAGAAGCGCCGCUCUCCCCACCUUACCCCAAACCCCAACCAUGUCUGCCGCCGCCGAACCCGCCGCCGACCAAAACCCUAAGCCUAAGGACGCCAAGCCCCACGAGCCCACUGCCGAAGCCGGAGCCGAGUUCGCGGAGGAAGAGUACGAAGAGGAUGGAGAGGAGUACGAGGAGGAGGAGGAGGAGGAGCUGGACGGGCCCGCGGCCGCGGCGGCGGAGCGGGAGCGGGUGCAGUCCGUGUUCCGGAGGCUGUCGUCCGACCCCGUGGGCAUCCGCGUCCACGACGUGAUCAUCAAGGGCAACACCAAGACGCGGGAUGAGCUCAUCGAGGCGGAGGUCGCCGACCUGCUCCGCGCCGCCCCCACCGUGCAGGACCUGCUCCGGGCCGCCAGCGUCGCCACCGGCCGGCUGCACAGGCUCGACGUCUUCGACGCCGUCAAGAUCACGCUCGACGCGGGGCCACCCGAGCUGCCCGGCACCACCAACGUUGUCGUCGAGGUCGUCGAGGCCGCCAACCCCCUCACCGGUACCGCCGGCGUAUACUCGAAGCCCGAGGUGAGCUCUCUUCUUGGCUCGGUUGUAUAGAUAUUGCAUUGGGUGAUCAAAUUGAGUGUGGCUUGAGGCAUGAGGUAAUGGUUACCAAUACAGUGAGGUCCGGAUGGGGAUCUAGAUUCAUAGUCGUCAAUUCUAGUGGAAGUUUUUGAGAUCCUGUUUUUAUGUAACGAUGAACCUGAAGAGCGAUAUAAAUAAGUCUCUAAGUACAUGAAGUUUGUAAGAAGUGCAGCCAAUAGUUUGGCCAAUCUCUUGAUAAUGGAGGCCCAUUACUUCGUUUUCUUUGCUGAUAAAUACACUGGCAUGCUUUAGUGUUUAGCAUACCUUUUUUUAUUGUAUGCAUACCAAGUCCCGGUAACAUUUUUGCUCUUCCCUUGUGUUCAUUGGAUAUACCUUUUGCGAAUAUCAGACACUGAAUGGGGAAUAAUGGAAACAUCGGAGGAGAUUAUUUUCUUCAGUACCAAGUUCACUGGAUAAUUUACUUUCGUUCUGUAGUUGGACAUAUAAUUUCAUAAACAAUGUACUGCUCAAAAGUAGGGUUAUUGGUACUUAUCUGACAAUCCGUAGUUCUCAGAUAUACUCAUUGUAGUCACCAAAUUGUUCUACAGCAAGCAGCAAUUGUCUGUUAGUAGUUGAGCUUAAGUUAUUAUAAAUGGUUGUCAGUUGAUAGAAAUACAAAGAGCAUGUUUAUCUUUUCUUUCAGAACUUAAAGCUGUGGACUGAUGCUUGGUUUUUAGAGUUGGAGGUCAAAACCAUCCCAGUCCCAACAUGUUAGCCCAAAUAAGGCCAUAUGGCAAUUUUUCUGUCAGUUCAAGCGGUGAAUUCGCUUGUCGGAAUUAAGCAUAGAAUUGUUGAUGUUUUAUAUCAGUUUAUUUAAUAUAUAAUUGUGUUUUGUCCGUUUGCCCUUUGGCACAUCCUUAAUAUGCUCUAUACACUUCUUUAUUUUUUGGAAAACACUAGGACAGGAUCCUACAGCAUGUAUAGAUUAUAUGUUAGAAAAUAUGUGCAAAAAGGAAAAGGAACAAGGAGUAAGAAGAAAUGUAUUUACAGAAAAUUGUCUAGGAGCUGCUAAUGAAACUGUUGGCUUUGCUCUUUGGAUAACCAAGGAAAUUCUAUCAUGAAAUUCUUUUCUGGCCUUCCAUAUUGGAAUGUAGUACUUGAUUGAGAACCCUAUUGUUCCUUGUGAGCCAUAUGCUCCGUGCUCCCAAUACAAACACUACUGAAACUUGGUUAUAAACCUUUUUCCCAGAAACCAUAGAAAAGAUAUAAUUGCUGAGGUUGAGCAUAGGUUCCACUGGGUUCAAUGAAAAUAAAAGGUGAUUAGAUUGAAUUUAUUUUAUCAGGGAUAAGCCACUUAUCCUCGUAUUUUGGAAUCUCGUUAACUUUUUUUAAGAAAGUAAAUUUAAUCUUUUUCCAGGUUGUUAGCUCUUGUCACAUACCUAAUACAAACACUUAGUAUAAUGGAAUAUUUUUACUUUUCAAUAACUUUCUGUAAAUUUACUGGUGAAAAUGUUUACUGAGCUUGUAUUGUCAACAUCAUAAGAGGAGGAAAUGCUGAAUAAAACAAGAAAACCAUAGAAAAUGCAUUACAGCAUUUGAUAACUGUGUAGUGAAUUCCAAUAAAUCUUGCUACCUAAUUAAGAUGUUUGCACAACUGAUGCAUGACCCAAUGACUUGCUACUCUUGUAGGCAAGAUCUUGGUCGUUGGAAGGGUCACUUAAGUUGAAGAAUCCGUUCGGCUAUGGUGACAUCUGGGAUGCAUCAGGUUCCUAUGGUUGGGACCAAACAACAGAGGUUGGAGUUGGAAUCUACCUACCAAGGUUUAAAUCGAUACCAACACCGUUGAUGGCCCGGGCAUCUUUGUCAUCACAAGAUUGGCUGAAGUUUUCAUCAUACAAGGAGCGUCUACUUGGCCUUUCAUUUGGCUUGAUUUCAACAAUGAACCAUGACUUGUCUUACAACCUUACGUGGCGUACCUUAACUGAUCCGUCACGUGCCUCAUCUAAGGCUAUAAGGAGGCAGUUAGGGCAUAACCUUCUUUCUGCAUUGAAGUACACAUACAAGAUCGAUGAGAGGGAUUCACUUCUCAGGCCAACAAAAGGAUAUGCAUUUCAGUCAACUUCUCAAGUUGGUGGUCUAUGGGAUAACAAGGGCUUGAGAUUUUUUCGGCAGGUUAUACCCUCAUCCUUGUUUUUCAUAACUUUAAAUUUUUUGCUUGGCCCUCACAGUCUAUGUAUGAAGUAAUUGCAUCAAGUGUAUACUAUCCUAUAAUCAUCUCGGCUGUCACCAUCACUUUCUUACAUAAAUGCUAUUGUUGGCUUUGGUUCAGGAGUUUGAUGUUCGUGGCGCUGUGCCUUUGGGAUUUUAUAAUGCUGCUCUAAAUGUUGGCGUCGGAGCGGGUGUCAUUUUACCACUUGGAAGGGGGUUCAUGAAUUCGUCUUCACCUGUGCCUGAUAGGUUUUUCCUUGGAGGUCAUUCUUCUCCAGUUUGCAGCUUGAGCGGGCUGUCAUCCCUGCUGGGUUUUAAAACAAGAGGAGUUGGCCCAACAGAAGCACGGAGGCUUGUACCCAAUGAAUCAGACAGUGGCUCUGCUCCGGCUCCAGGAAGGGAUUACUUGGGAGGUGAUCUGGCUGUGUCUGCCUUUGCUGACCUUUCUUUUGAUCUGCCACUGAAGUUAUUCAGAGAUGCUGGAAUCCACGGUCAUGCAUUUCUGGCUGCUGGGAACCUUACGAAAUUGUCGGAGGGCGAGUACAAGAAUUUCUCAGUAUCUGAUUUUAAGCGCACAUUCAGGAGCUCUGCUGGUGCUGGCAUUAUUUUGCCUACUAAACUUUUCCGGGUGGAGGUACGUUCCCUUUCCCCUUUUCAACUCAUGGUUUCCAUAUUAGUAUAGAUAUCUGCUUGACUGCUUUGAGAUUAACAUCAUCUUUUCCAUCUUUAUCCAGGUGAAUUAUUGUUACAUUCUGAAGCAAGCUGAGCAUGACAGUGGAAAGACCGGAAUCCAGUUCAGCUUCUCCUCACCCAUGUAGAAACCUGCCAUGAAAUGUUUUGCAGCUGAAGUAGCUUUUCUUCCCUCACCCCUGUAGACUUGCGUUCUCCAUUGUUCUUUUCUUACUGAAGCAAUUGCAAAACGAUCGUAGUCGCAUAUCAUUGGGUUUUCUUUUGACGCUCGUUGUUGGGUGUGAGGAGCAUGAACCUAGACUUGCUCCUUCUUUUUGGUGUCUUGAGUUACUCCCCUCUUCUGACACGAAGGAUUUGUCCUUCACAACUCAAAUACUGCAAUGGUGGAUAGAAUAAAUUUUGGGCCAAGAAUGUUUUACACCAGUUCAAUUAUGCCCUCCUUUCGCAUUGUAAGUACACUUUUGAGAUCUUGUGUGCUUGUGGUUACUGGUUAGUCGUGUAUGUCCAGCAAUAGGCAUUAGCACAUCAGAUGGUUGAAAUGCACCAGAAUCCUUUCGCAUUGUAAUAACGCUUUGAGGUCUUGUGCUUGUGGUUAGUCGUGUCUGUCCGGCAUAGGCAUUGGCACAUCAGAUGGUUGAAAUGCACCAGAACCUCAAUGAUCCGGGUCCUUCGCACAUAUAAACCUCACUUGUAUCCUGAAGUGAAACGAUGAGCAGAAGUUGCAUCUGUUGCUAAUUGCUCUGCUGCUUAUUGCAAUAAGGACAUGUUACUCAUGACUAUGGUUGCAUGGUUCUGGUCGUGUUGUCUAUAUAAAAGUAAAAGACGUUGCUCGUUCUGCUCUAAUUGGGCAAUCCUCGCUCCUGUUAAAAUUGUAGUCUUACAGUACAGGUAACCACUUUCAGAACUACCACUCCUGAAAUUGUAGUUUUGCAGGUAGUCACCCACUUUCGGAACUACGUACCACCCAUUUUGGCCGCGCUAUUGAUCGAUGUCACCUUCCCAGGCGCUGGGUGGCCUGUGUUCUGAACGGAAUGCCAAUUCUGGCGGAGACGUGGAGCGCUUGAUUUCGGCGCACUCCUUCCGCACCAGCUCCAAUGCGGCCCCCAAGGCGCACCAGCUCCUCGGCCCCGACGCAGUGUGUUGGCCCUCUCCAGUCCGGGUGUGACUCAGAACAUGACGUCCGGUGGCGACGGAGGACGAGUCCACGAAGGCGCCAUCGGCGAAGUUCGAGAUGCGGUUGUUCGCCGAGCGGGACGCCCAGGUGCCGAGCUAGUCAUAUGCGUGGCGAGCGCUUUCUCGUCGAGGCUCGGAGGCGGGCUGCCACUGCCCAGCAGCUUGCGUAACGUAGAGGAAACGCGAAACGGAGGUCGAGGAGCUGGUGCGCGUAGUGCUGCAGGUUUGACAAAAGGAAAUAAAUAGAUACUCUUUAUAAAAAAAAAGAUAGAUACUAGUUUAUUUGGCACCAAUUUUUUUUCCGCAAAGUUUGGCUGGUUUGAGACUUGAGUCCAUGCGGUAGAUUUGGCACACCACAGCUUUGCGUCACUCGUCACAUCCCACAAGAAGCAUGGCCUGCCACAAUCACAACUAAUUAAGGGGUGUUUGGAUACAAGUUACUAAAUUUUAGCAGUGUCACAUCGGAUGUUCAAAUGCUAAUUAGAAGAACUAAAUAUGAGCUAAUUACAAAACUAAUUGCACAGAUGGAGUCUAAUUCCCGAGACGAAUCUAUUAAGGCUAAUUAAUCCAUUAUUAGCAAAUGAUUACUGUAGCACUGCAUUGUCAAAUCAUGGACUAAUUAGGCUUAAUAGAUUCGUCUCGCGAAUUAGACUCCAUGUGUGCAAUUAGUUUUGUAAUUAGACUAUAUUUAUUACUCCUAAUUAGUAUCAAACAUCCGAUGUGAUAUGUGUUAAAGUUUAGCAAAGGGUAUCCAAACAUAUGCCAUGUCCCAGGCACAGGGAUCAUCCCAUCUCGCCCAGUAAAUUCAACGGAUCAAUCAAAGUUCCCUGCCGCCAGCCAACAACGAGAAACCACCCGGACGCCCAGGAAAAGAGGCGAAAACGACGACACGCCGCAGGAACCAGGGCAGGGGAUGACCGCCGCACAGAGAUCCUAGAUUCCCAGCCCGCCCUGACGCUACGCUGUUCGGCAGAGCAAUCGCGUGCCGUGCCAGUCAGCCAGUGCCACCGAUGGGCCCAGCAAGCCCGCAGGCUCACCGGCCAGUUCGGUGGCGCUGCCGCCGGUGGCCGUGUAGACGGGCACGAUCCACAGCGGGCGCGUGCAGGAGGACCCAAGGCGGAGGCAAAGGCACGGCAGCGCAGCAGGAGCCCGGUGACAGGUCGAGGACGAUCUGCCUGGGCGAACACUGGACAUGUUGGGGUGGGUGGCUGGGAGCCAUGUGACGUGAGACCAUGUCACGCCAGCUGUGGGAAGCGAGGAACAGCAUCGUGCACAUACUCAUGAUAAAAGGACAAUUGAUUUAUAUAAUACUCCCUCCAUCCCAAAUUAUAGGUCGUUUUAGCAUUUCUAUAUGCAUAAUAUUUGCUAUACACCUAGAUAUAGCAUAUAGACUAGCAUAUGUCUAUAUGCAUAAUAAUAUCUAUGAACUAAAAAACUAAAACGACCUACAAUUUGGAAUGGAACGGAAGGAGUAGAGUAAUAGACGCUCUGACAAACGCAAACCAAAAGUUGCAAUGGCGUCGCAGCAUCGGGUAAAACAGAAUAGGACCAUAGAACAUGAAAACAUAUCAAAAGGUUUACAAGGAAAAAGGGAGCACAUAAAGGACAUUCAAAGGGUGUUUAGCCGAGGGAUUGACCUUAGGCAUUCUCGGAAUCUUUUUCAAAUCUAAGAUAAACCCAACAAAUUUGAACCAGAACUCCCCUAUCAAACGAGCCACCAUGCAUGCUAUACACUUCUUUUUCUUGUAGAUAUUUUCUCAGCAUAAAACAGAAUGUGCAACUCCAGGCCAUCAGCCAGCCAUGAAUACAUGAGCAUAACUAUAGCAACACACAUAUUAUCUCCAGCAGUAUAACAUGUCAUAAGUCAACUAAAUAGUGGGUAAGGCUCAGCAACAACCCUCUGAAAUAGGUAAGCACAGUAAUGACAGCACUGGAAGACUAGACAGAAGCGGCGUGAUCUGAAACACCCCUUAGCCACUAUAGUGUGCUGUGUGCGUAGCCAAAAUUUGCUGAACUCAUAAGCUAACAAAAUAAGUUAGGCGAAAAGACGACAGAGAGUGACUAAUAAGUAAACCAGUUAAUAAGAAACAGAAUUUAGCUUUCAUAUCCUAUGAUAAGAUAAACACGAGAGAAGAUCUUUCUGCAACCAGCGUGCCUCAUUGGCUGGUAAGGGUAGGCACAGAGCAGCAGCAAACAGCAAACUGGCAAAAGUCUGUAUGAUUCGUUGGACCAAUAUUUUAGCUUGAGUUCAAUGCUCAAUAGAAUUAGAAGCUAUCCGCAAACAAUAUUCAGGGGUCCAUGUGUUAUUUCUGAACUAGAGACUGAUUUGGUGAUUUCAUUGAGUACAGAUUUGCACAUACAAUUUACUAUCAAGGAAAAUACAGAUCUGCACAUACAAUUUACUAUCAAGGAAAAUUCAUCUGAUGGCAAACGUCAGGUUUCCUCAGUAUGCAUGGUGAUCGCACAAAUCGAACAGGUCGGAAGGAACUAAGGCAACCAGCUCCACUCUACCUAGUAAACUAGUAAAGAGGAAGAACUUCAUACCACACUGAGCAGAUAUUACCUAGCAAAGAGGUAAAAAGGCUAAACUGUGAACAGCACUGCAAGCAAAUUAGAACAUUGCUCCAAC
RNAcentral lists this long non-coding RNA (38339 nucleotides) under Setaria viridis. Its description in RNAcentral is "long non-coding RNA (SVIR_LNC002777)". Lineage: Eukaryota; Viridiplantae; Streptophyta; Magnoliopsida; Poales; Poaceae. The record is from RNAcentral.